Molecule: long non-coding RNA, 998 nt
Organism: Rhagoletis pomonella (apple maggot)
Lineage: Eukaryota; Metazoa; Arthropoda; Insecta; Diptera; Tephritidae
Exons: 2
Source: RefSeq, a predicted model, not a curated record
AUUACUUAAAAAUAGCCAUGAUGGAACUGCUGCCAAUAAUAAAAGCAAUAAAUGUGCAAUCAUUUCAAAGGCACGACAUUCAUUCACACAACCGCAAAUGAUCAUCCGCGCAGAGUACAAAUGCAUCAAAAGCAGUGGAACGGCACAUGUGACAAGCGCAAUCUGAUUUAUUUAUAACGCACUCGCCCGUUUGUUUUUUUGCAAGCAAUAAAUGGCAUCGUAUGACCAACGAAAUAAAUAAAUGAAAAAAGAAGCGGCGAAAAUAAGAGUUCCCUGGCACUUCCAUUUGGUUGUUGGGUCGACUGGCUGGCUGGCUGACUAACUUCAACAAUUGGAAUUCGAGGAAUUCGAGCAUGUGCCGCAGGCGAAUUUGAGUUGCCUGUCCAACAACGUAGCACUACUACUUACUCUUCGCACAUAGCAUUCCUCUGUAUUCAAACGGGUACAGUAAUGUACUACAUAAAUAUAUGCGAAAUAUGGUUAUGCUGGAGUCAUCACGCCUGAGUAGCUUUAAUUUCAUCACUACUUAAACGAGAAGCAGGCACAAAAAAAACGUGCGAUGGUUGAUGACGAAGUAUCGCCAGGAAAUUUUACGACGUAGCAAGUAUGACGCAUGCGACAAGCAAUGACGCUAUUCCCAACCGAGUUGUAUGUGUGAUAAUCAACUGACCAACACAAAAGUAAUCAAAGAACUGCUGAAAGCUUUAAAAAUAAGCCAGCAAAAUGGCAGAGGAUCAGAAACGCGUGCGUCAGCUCAGAGGCGUACAGUUCAAGAAUUUAGCCACAACUAAACAGCUAGUUGCCUGCUAAUUGAACAACAUUCGAUGACUUCUGUACCUGGUCACAGCUCCCAACACGCUCCAACGAUCAGCAGUUACAGUAAGCAAUUCAAAAGGGGAAAAACAACAGCAACGUCUGGAGGAAAAAAAAACAUUAGCGAAGUCAUUAAGACGUGUGUAGAGUAAAAAAUAAUAAUAAACAAGUUUUGAUCGGAUGAA